Non-coding RNA from Dermacentor albipictus, 1763 nucleotides. The record is from RefSeq and is a predicted model, not a curated record. Lineage: Eukaryota; Metazoa; Arthropoda; Arachnida; Ixodida; Ixodidae.
GAGUUUUUUGUAGGAAACUCUAUGGUGUGGGCAUUCUUUCAGUCAAGGCGGCUCCGAGUCACUUGGGUAGACGCGGCUAGCGUCUGUCAGCGCCCCACAUCGUACAUGGUGUCAGAAGUGGUCGCCCUUCACUCUCUCUAAUGGCGAACAAGCCGGACGCUGUGUUUGCCGAGGUACCUGGACUCCAACAGCCAUCGAGCUUCGACUUCGCCGAUCCAAGUGCAUGGUCGCCCUGGAUUGAGCAGUUCGAGGAAUAUGCCUACGCUGCAGGAUUGCACCAAGCUACCGACGAGGUUCGGGCGUUGGUCCUAUUCAUCAGCUUGCAGUUCCGCACCCGGGCUCUACCUCCUUCCUCAGCUAUGCCUAACGACGUGACACAGCAAUAUGCUGCCUCGUCCACGGCUGCCACUUGUUCCGGCUAGCAGAGGCAGCGAGACGCUGCUAUAUUAAGUGACAUCGACUACCACGAUGUGGAGGAAUGGCUGUACUAUGACCGAGGCCUGCGAAGAUGAUGGAGCAGGACUGGCUGCUACCACCACGGGGGCGGGAGGCAUCACUACGGGACCACUGUGCGUGGGCUCGCAGGACUCCUCAGGCCUCUGUGACGAUGCCCCCACCUUCGUCACAUCGGCAUAACUGCGUCGCGAAAGAGGUACUCAAGGGACGAAUCCCCCAUUGGACCGGAGGCGACGAUGCCUCGCGAGGUGGUCCUGGACUGCCGCUGUCUUCAGGAUGAGCGGCGCGACGGCGAUCCGGCGCUGCUCAAGGAGCUCACCGAGGACGGCUACGGUCCGCGCGACCGCAUGGUCGGCUGGUCGUGCGCCUUCCUUGCGGCCGGAGCGUUUCUGCUCGCAGGCGGGGGCGUCAUGCUAGCGCUCUCACUCAAGCUCGAGCCCGAGGUGAACAGCUUGACUGACUACUACAACGUGCCCACCACACUGUUAGGCGCCGCACUUCUGGGCCUGGCUGCGGCAUUCUUUCUGCUGGCGCUCAUCAAAGGAUGCUGGCAUCGGCACUUGUGAGCGGUCACCUGAACGACUGGACUCCAAUCGUGGCUGAAAAGAUUUUGUUAGCCUGACAGCCUUGUGGCGUACGCCGUUCCACGGCACUCUUGUUCCAUCGCUCGUACUUGUCUGUCCACAGGCUGCUCACUCGAAGGACGGCAAUUCCAUGCCAUCUAUAUACACCAGAGAAAAAAAAGGUUGCUGACUAUACCGUGAAGGCUAUGGUAGCACCUUAAGACCUUCAGAACAACAAGAAGCAACAGCGAUUGGAACGCUUGGGUAUCUAGAAGCCUCCACAACAUGGAUUACACUGCCACGAAACUCUCAAGCAACCAGUUACAGUGGCUCUCUAAGAAAAAGGCUUCACAGUCGCGAGAGCAAGUACUGUAGUGAAAGCGCAAGAAAUGCUGCUGCUAACUUUGAGCGAAGAUACCAUCACUUUGGUCUCAGUGUGGGUUAUGUGAAGUGACUGAAAAGCUUGAACACUGCAAAUGAAGACUAAUGGUGACGUGGGUGUUUGUGUGUGUAUAUGCGUGGGGGCGUAUUUGCAUGGUGACAAACAGGCAAUUUCACCGAGAGGGCACCAACCCGUCCGAACAACUCGGGCUAUGUAUAGUGUCACAAGAAGUGGUGGCGGCUUCCUGCUGCUUUUCGUUUAAAGGACAACCUGUUUGCUAGUAAUUUUCAUUUUUCUGUCAUCUCAUCAGCAAUGGAAGUCCUGUGAAACUCAUUGCAGUGAUAAAUGUCAUUCAUAGCGUA